UUUCGGGGUUUAGGGUUUAGAGUUGAUGUUUCAUGGUUUAUGGUUUAGAGUUGAUGAUUUAAGGUUUAAAGUUGAUGUUUUAAGUUUAGAUUUAGGGUUUACGUUUAAGGUUUAGAGUUGAUGUUUUAGAGUUUAGAUUUGAAGUUUUUGGGUUUAAGGUUUAGAGUUGAUGUUUCGGCGUUUAUGGUUUAGAGUUGAUGUUUCAUGGUUUAGGGUUUAGAGUUGAUGAUUUAGUAUUUAGAGUUGAUGUUUUAAGUCUAGAUUAGUUAACCAUAUGUUUUUUUUUUGUCAAAAGUAAUCAAACGUUAUAAAUGUAUUUUACCCUUCAUUAAAGAUGAGGAUAAAAAUGGUUAGUAUAAACAUAAAAACUGGUACUUUGAAAAUAGUAUUUUU
RNAcentral lists this long non-coding RNA (393 nucleotides) under Brassica napus (rape). RNAcentral's name for it is "long non-coding RNA (BNAP_LNC024019)". The record is from RNAcentral. Lineage: Eukaryota; Viridiplantae; Streptophyta; Magnoliopsida; Brassicales; Brassicaceae.